This 474-nucleotide ribosomal RNA is filed under the name uncultured organism. RNAcentral describes it as "partial 16S ribosomal RNA". It matches the Rfam family "Bacterial small subunit ribosomal RNA", at positions 334 to 799 of the family's 1533-position model. The record is from RNAcentral.
CACUCCUACGGGAGGCAGCAGUGGGGAAUUUUGGACAAUGGGCGAAAGCCUGAUCCAGCAAUGCCGCGUGAGUGAAGAAGGCCUUCGGGUUGUAAAGCUCUUUUGUCAGGGAAGAAACGGUGAGAGCUAAUAUCUCUUGCUAAUGACGGUACCUGAAGAAUAAGCACCGGCUAACUACGUGCCAGCAGCCGCGGUAAUACGUAGGGUGCAAGCGUUAAUCGGAAUUACUGGGCGUAAAGCGUGCGCAGGCGGUUUUGUAAGUCUGAUGUGAAAUCCCCGGGCUCAACCUGGGAAUUGCAUUGGAGACUGCAAGGCUAGAAUCUGGCAGAGGGGGGUAGAAUUCCACGUGUAGCAGUGAAAUGCGUAGAUAUGUGGAGGAACACCGAUGGCGAAGGCAGCCCCCUGGGUCAAGAUUGACGCUCAUGCACGAAAGCGUGGGGAGCAAACAGGAUUAGAAACCCCUGUAGUCCCAUG